UAGUCCACGCCGUAAACGAUGAUUACUCGCUGUAGGCGAUACACAGUCUGUGGCUAAGCGAAAGUUUUAAGUAAUCCACCUGGGGAGUACGAUCGCAAGAUUGAAACUCAAAGGAAUUGACGGGGGCCCGCACAAGCGGAGGAACAUGUGGUUUAAUACGAUGAUACGCGAGGAACCUUACCAGGGCUUAAAUGUAGAUUGACAGGACUAGAGAUAGUUUUUCCUUCGGGCAAUUUACAAGGUGCUGCAUGGUUGUCGUCAGCUCGUGCCGUGAGGUGUCAGGUUAAGUCCUAUAACGAGCGCAACCCCUGCCGUUAGUUGCCAGCAUGUUAAGAUGGGGACUCUAACGGGACUGCCGGUGCAAACCGUGAGGAAGGUGGGGAUGACGUCAAAUCAUCACGGCCCUUACGUCCUGGGCCACACACGUGCUACAAUGGCCGGUACAGAGAGCAGCCAUGUUGCAAAACAGAGCGAAAUCUAUAAAACCGGUCACAGUUCGGAUCGGAGU
This 508-nucleotide ribosomal RNA is filed under the name uncultured bacterium. Its description in RNAcentral is "bacterial SSU rRNA". It matches the Rfam family "Bacterial small subunit ribosomal RNA", at positions 791 to 1304 of the family's 1533-position model. The record is from RNAcentral.